Molecule: long non-coding RNA, 3606 nt
Organism: Mustela erminea (ermine)
Lineage: Eukaryota; Metazoa; Chordata; Mammalia; Carnivora; Mustelidae
Exons: 3
Source: RefSeq, a predicted model, not a curated record
CAGCGUCUUUAAUAACUUCCUAGGAUUCCAUGGUAAUAAAUCCGAAUUAAAUAUGCUUGACCCAGGGAAAACAGAAAUUGGCAAAACUGGCCCAGACUUUCGGGGGGUUGGGGGGGCGGUGUAGGUGUGGCCGCAUUCCCACAAUGUCUGAACAAGUCUUGACAGUCCGUCUCGACUCCCGCAGAGCAGUUCUGAACCAAAGCUACUUUCCUUGAAGGGAGGUGGGACCCCAUGCCGGGUGAACGUACGACACGUGACCAACACGUGGACCCCAAAAGCAUUUCUGCUAAGUACGAGAAGCCUGCAGCCAAAGACCACACAUCGUACGAACCCAUUCUCACCAGAGGCCCAGGAAAGGGACGUCUGAAGAGACAUCAAGGACAUGGGUGGCUGCUUGGGGGCUGGGACCCCUGCCGAGGGAGAGCACACUGGGGGCAACGCGGCCUCGGAGCCAGGAUGCACAACUCCGACACCUGCUUCAAACACCACGGGGCUGUGCACUUACAGCGGCUGAGCUUCCGAGGACCGGCGCUCCCAUCUUCGGGAAGCUGCUGUGGACACGGCAGCGGUGCUCCUCUGAGACCCCUGCCCGGGCGUGCUCUCCUGCGGGCGCACGGCCCUCUCCACAAAUCCCGGGCUCAGAAAAGCGCGCCGCUCCCGACUGCCCGGAGGCCUUCCGGGGGCUGGCCACAACGACGGCGCGGGAACCCAGGCUGUGACGCUGGCCGGGGAUGCCACAGGAGUCACGCGAGGGACGCGAAGCCCUCAUCUGCAGGAGUCCUCGCGGCCAGAAGGAGAGCGGCCGCCCAAGAUGGCGCCGCCCCCAGCCCGGCUGUCUGCGCAGGCGCCUGGCCCGGCCUUCGGGGUUAGGCUCUGGAGCCGGGCCUACAGAGUUCUGUGCAUUUACCCAAGGCUGCAGAGAGCAGUCGGUAGAAGCACGGCGUCGGUUUGCUAAGAUCCUACCAACGCCGUGGGUCUGCUAAGGUCUUACCGUCGCAGGUCUCUAGGCCUUCCCCGGCUCCCCGCGGAGGACGGGGUGAGGCCCAGAAAACAAGCAUUGGCGUGGUGGAGCGUGGGUACUGAGUGCGCAGGCUCACCUGGAGCCCCUGCGCAAGGGCGCCUGGGAGACCCGCCGUGGCGGGAGAGGGGACUUGGACCUCGAGGGUGGCGCAGACGUACGGCCCUUCCCUGGCCUGAGGCACCCGGGGUAGGGCCUGCGCUACGCGUUUACAGACCCGUUACCUGUGUCUGGUGCGGGAGGCAGCCUGUUGGCUAGCCCGGAAGUAAGCUCCGGUUUUAGAAUUCCAUCGGGGCACAUGUUUACCGGAUUGAAUACGUUCUGGCGGAAAGAGAGCGGAUUCCACCCGUCCUAGAACGACUGCCCCGGGCGCUGGCACUUGUCAGAGGUGAGCGUCCGCGGCGGCUGGCCCCGAUGGGACGCUCCGCGACGGCUUUUCAAAGGCGGGGCCGGAGCCCCUGAGGAGCCGCGGGCUGAAUGGAUGCGGAGCUGCGGUCAGGGAGCCAUCACCUAGGUGGGCUGACAAGACCAGCGCUUCGUCCGUCACAGAGUAGCCUAGGGCGAGGAGGGGGCCACGGCUCCAGCAAACGCAGAGCCCAGCAGCAGAGACGUGUCCUUAUUCAUUCAUUCUUCAGUGUAUUCUGAGAGACUGGGUGUGUGAGACCUAUACUGGAAUCUGGAGGAUACGGAGGGAAACUGAAUCAGGAAAGGGAGAGGUGGUUUGUCCAAUAGCCAAGAUCUUUAUACCGGGUGCUUUGGGAGAAAUCAUAACUGCUCCUGGGCUCCGCACCUGCAACUUCAUUCCUGGAGACUUGCCUGAGUAGAAGCCAAGGUCAAGGCGUGGCUGUUUGGUGCUUCACUUGAUGCCACAACCUUCUAAAGAAAUGUUGGAAUCAAAGGGGGGAACGGCCACCUUCUUCCAGCACUACCUUCACACCUGUGUCUGGGCCCCAUGGCCUUCCUCCCCUUGCUGCUGCAUCUGGGUUGCUAGGCUCCUUCCUGAGACCACCCUCCCCACUUGGAUCCCAUUCCCCUCUCCAGUCAGGGGCACCAUUUUCACUUUCUCCCCCUCAGCGCGAACUCUGCAGCCCCCUGAAUGGCUUCACUUGACCUCCACGAUGAGGCUUUCUUCUUUCUUCCCACCAUGGGGACUGGUGACAGCUGGAGGAGCCCAGCCUCCAAGACGGCCCGAAGUCCUCGCCUUCUGCUCUUUGUUCCCUGGGGAACUUCCUUGGUGAUAGGCCCAUCCCUGAACCAGUCACUGAGGCCAAGGGGGAUAUCCGGUCUCUGGGCCACACUGGGUCUGGGGCUCCUCCUGGAGUCAGCGGGGUGGGGAUCAGCCACACCUGAACUGCAGGACAGGCCAGUAAGAGAAGGGGCCACCUCAGAAGAGAUGUAGCGAGCGCUUGGGGGGCAAACACAGCACCUGGGGUGGGACGCGAAGUAGCUAUUACAAGGAAAGGGAGGGAUGUGCGUGUGUUCAGCAGGUUCAUUUCCCCUCUUCAUGCCCACAUCUCUGGUGGACUCGCGACUACUCCCGCUUGCUUCCUUCUACGCCACAUUCAGCAGAUGGAUCUGUUGAUACCUAAACACAAGGCACAGUUUGUGUACCUGGUAUAGAUUUUCUUUCUUUAUCCUCUGCAGUCCUAUGAGGUCAUACUUUUUUUUUUUUUUUUUUUUUAAAGUUAUCAGCCUCUGCUUCACAGAUGAAGGAUCACAUACGGAGAGGCUAAGUAACUUGUUCUAGGCACCUGGCGAGUAACGGGGCAGUUCAGGAAGCAUAAGCUCCCGUCCCCACUAUACAACACUCUGUGUCUCAGGAACUCAAUCCAUUUUGAAUGGAUUUCUCAUCCAGUGUGGCGGCCCAGGCACAAAUGUCCCUGGGUAGGUGACCCCCCCCCCAAAAAAAGAAGCAAGUGUCACAGGAGCAUCCGUCCACUGAGUGUGUCUGAGAGCCCAUGACUGGGAUGGCGCUUCCCACCGCAGAGCCCUACGGGACCGUCUUGGUUGCAAGGGAAAGGAGCCUGGUCUAGUCCACCUUCAGCCUUCUCCUCUGGCACAUGGGGCCACCCCGCAGAAUGGCAGGGGUGCAGCUGGUCUGAGAGGGUUGCCAACAACAGAAACAACUCAAACUAGUUUAGGCAAAGAGGGGGAAUAUCUUGGCUCCGGUAACCAAAUCCCAGGGAGGAAAGGGGUGUAGCCGUCCUCGGGGUGUGAAAAGCAGCCAGCAGCUGUCUCUCUACCACUUGAAUCUGCAUGUUGGCAGCAAAGUGUCACGCAAGUCUUCCCCAUGAGGUCAGAACGGUGCUAUUCCUAGGUUAUCCCUCUGCAAGGAGGAGUCUUGCUUGCCUUGUCCUUAGAAGGCUCUUUCCAGGCCUGGGUUGGGCCACACACAGAGAAUACUGUAAUAUGUCACCUGCGAUGGGAAUAGCGGUAGAGGAGAAACAGUCCCUAAAAUAAGGGGCAGGGUUAAUAUCCUCCAAGAAACAAGGAGGACUGCUACCUAGAGUAAUAUCUGGGCACCAAACCUCAUUCAUGGGGUCUCAGGACCUCCUUCCUUGAGGAAGUAGCUGAGCAGGAAAUUGUUG